GUCACCUCACUGCAGUAGGAGGGGCUCAGCAUUUGCUGGUCGUAGGGAGGGGGGGAACGGAAAUAGUGAUCCUCCCCCACCGAAGAGGGGGCUUCCAGAUAGGAUCGCUUGCAAGGUAAGUCCAGGUGGCGGGUACCGUCUGCUGAAAGACAAAGUAACAUUCAGGAAGAACCAUUUCCACCAGCCCAGGCCCCAGAGCACCCUGUUGGAUGCUGGGACAGCCUGUCCUUGUCCCUCUGCGCCCGCCCUCCCCAUGUUGCCAUGGCACUCCCAGAGCCAUUUCAAUCAGCCACGGCUUUUAUAGGGUUGCAGGCACCAAGAAGUGGUCAGAUUACGGACCCUACUCAGAGGCCACGGGGGACACCACAUCACCGGACACUGAGGGCCAGGCUUAGCCAGGCAGCACUCGGCUUUGAUCCUUCGCCAGCCUGACUCUUGCAGAGUGAGAGGCCCUGAUGUGCAGUGGCAUUCUCA
RNAcentral lists this long non-coding RNA (474 nucleotides) under Homo sapiens (human). RNAcentral describes it as "non-protein coding lnc-NACA2-3:1". Lineage: Eukaryota; Metazoa; Chordata; Mammalia; Primates; Hominidae. The record is from RNAcentral.